RNAcentral lists this ribosomal RNA (446 nucleotides) under uncultured bacterium. Its description in RNAcentral is "bacterial SSU rRNA". It matches the Rfam family "Bacterial small subunit ribosomal RNA", at positions 330 to 792 of the family's 1533-position model. The record is from RNAcentral.
ACCAGACUCCUACGGGAGGCAGCAGUGGGGAAUAUUGCACAAUGGGGGAAACCCUGAUGCAGCAACGCCGCGUGAGUGAAGAAGUAUUUCGGUAUGUAAAGCUCUAUCAGCAGGGAAGAAGAAGGACGGUACCUGACUAAGAAGCCCCGGCUAACUACGUGCCAGCAGCCGCGGUAAUACGUAGGGGGCGAGCGUUAUCCGGAUUUACUGGGUGUAAAGGGAGCGUAGACGGUUAAUCAAGUCUGAAGUGAAAGCCCGCGGCUCAACUGCGGAACGGCUUUGGAAACUGAGUAACUGGAGUGCUGGAGGGGCAGGCGGAAUUCCUGGUGUAGCGGUGAAAUGCGUAGAUAUCAGGAGGAACACCGGUGGCGAAGGCGGCCUGCUGGACAGUAACUGACGUUGAGGCUCGAAAGCGUGGGGAGCAAACAGGAUUAGAUACCCGGGUA